UUGCCCGAUGAUUAUAAAAAGACGCGAAAGAGGACUUGAAGCUGGAUUCUUUUCCUUUUUCUCUCUUCUCUACUCUUUUCUCUAUUUCCUUUUCUCUUUUCUCUACUUUUCUCUAUUUCCCUCCCUUCCCACUUUCCUCUGCUUCUUUUUCUCUCUCUGGAUGUCCAGCGUCCUAUGAGCGAAGAUUAUGAGAUAUGAGGGCAA
Molecule: small nucleolar RNA, 204 nt
Organism: Microtus oregoni (creeping vole)
Lineage: Eukaryota; Metazoa; Chordata; Mammalia; Rodentia; Cricetidae
Product: small nucleolar RNA SNORD97
Exons: 1
Source: RefSeq, a predicted model, not a curated record